UUUGCGAUGCAAGUGUUCUUCCUGGUGCUAUUGGUGUGAAUCCCAUGAUUACUGUCCAGUCCACUGCUUAUUGCCUUUCAAAGAGAAUAGCAGAGUCUUUAAGACAAAAACUAGUCUUCUGAAGUUUAUGAAUCCUUCGUCAACAGCCUGAAGAUUGACGAUAAAUGUAUUUUAUAAGUUUAUAUGCUUGCAUUUUACUGAAGAAUAAGAAACAGAGAGGAUGGUAAAGUCUGUAAAACUUGCUCAUAUAGUGACAACAGAAAGGGAUUUGAUUUUCUUAUUAGUUUCCACCGUCUCAUAGAAUUACUGACUUUAGGUUUUUUAAGCUUUCAGUAGCUUAGUUUAUAGCAAGAUUCACGAAUUGAUAUAUUUACCUUUUAUUUGUCAAAAUGUUAUAACAAUUUAAAGCAUCCAGAGAGAGGGCAAGGAAAAGUUUUUGGAGAUGGAGGGAACAGCUCAGAUGCAUACAGAGAACAUCAAUGCUAGGUUGCAGCAGGCACCUUUUUUUUUUGUUUUUUUCCAAUCAAAAUGGGAGAUAUAAUUGCAACUCAACCGUGGAGGAUGGGGGUUGCAGCAGGCACCUAUAGAAAUAGUUACUUUCACCAUGGUUGAGGUGCAAGCUGGCUGGAGUAAAGGGUAGAGAAUCAUGCAAAUAAGGAGUUUAUCACAAGGAAUUCAAGGAGGUUUUCCAUCUAGCCUCCAACAGGAUGUCCAGGGAUAUAGCCUAACAUAGAGAAUGUUUCAUUUAAGAACAAAUAGCCUAUGACACUCUUGAUAGCAAUUACGCUAACUAAUCUAAACCCAUAAACAAUAAAUUCUGCUAUAGAAAUUCCAGCUUUCAGGAUCCUAAAGAUCUUUACAUAUAGCCAGCAUAUAAAUCAGAAGACAACUGUUAAAUUGUAACAAAACAAUUCCAGUAAAUAAGAUCCUCUAAAUCACUGCAAAUCUAUGAUAGCAACAUAUAAUUCUUGAACAUCUACGAAUAACACAAUGGUUAAAAUCUACAAAUAAAUGUUUCCACCUUUUUAAUUCAUGUAAUUCACUUGCGGGGAACAAAACAAAGAAAAACUAUUGAAUUUAAUUGAAUCAUAUAGUUUAAGGGGCAGAGAUAUCAGAAAAUUUUCCAAACAGUUUCUUUUGCAGGAUAAUGAAUAGAGAAAAACAGAGGGGGGGCGGGGGAUCUAAAAGGUUAUAUUUUGGUGAGUCAGAACUCAGAACUAGUAUGUUUCACCUGAUUUUGCAUCUGGGUUCCAACUCUAACCGCCGCAUUUGGAGACAGCUGGGCAGAGCUGAAAGCAGA
This 1300-nucleotide long non-coding RNA is filed under the name Theobroma cacao (cacao). Its description in RNAcentral is "long non-coding RNA (TCAC_LNC002762)". Lineage: Eukaryota; Viridiplantae; Streptophyta; Magnoliopsida; Malvales; Malvaceae. The record is from RNAcentral.